RNAcentral lists this RNase P RNA (432 nucleotides) under Pseudomonadota bacterium. Its description in RNAcentral is "RNase P RNA component class A". It matches the Rfam family "Bacterial RNase P class A". From Rfam's summary of the family: Ribonuclease P (RNase P) is a ubiquitous endoribonuclease, found in archaea, bacteria and eukarya as well as chloroplasts and mitochondria. Its best characterised activity is the generation of mature 5'-ends of tRNAs by cleaving the 5'-leader elements of precursor-tRNAs. Lineage: Bacteria; Pseudomonadati; Pseudomonadota. The record is from RNAcentral.
GGAGUCGGCCAGGCAGUCGCGUCAUCCGGACCACUUCGGUGGGAUCGGGUGCCGAGGAAAGUCCGGGCUCCACAGGGCACGGUGCCAGGUAACUCCUGGGCGGCGCGAGCCGACGGAAAGUGCAACAGAGAGUAGACCGCCGAACGGUCAUGCCGUUGAGGGGCGCUUGUCGGACGAAAGUCCGACCAAGUGCCUCCGUACCGCCGAAAGGCGGAGGCAGGACGCGUGGCAAGGGUGAAACGGUGCGGUAAGAGCGCACCGCGAGUCUGGCAACAGACCGGCAUGGCAAACCCCACCGGGAGCAAGACCAAAUAGGGAGACAAUGCCGCGGCCCGCGGUGUCUCCGGGUAGGUUGCUCGAGCGUAUCGGUGACGAUGCGCCUAGAGGAAUGACUGUCCACGACAGAACCCGGCUUAUCGGCCGGCUCCGCCA